GUCUCUAGAAAGAGCGAGGUUGAGUUACAGCCCUGAGGAGGGUGGUUGCAGGUUCGGCUUCCGCCUUUGUACCUCUAGCCGCAUCUGUCUUUUUUCUCAUUUUGCGCUUCUUGUGUGAGGAAGACGUCGUAACUGUGUAGGGGAGGUUUCUGCGCCCCGGGGCGCUCGGGAGGAGACGGAAGAAGCGACUUUUCCUGCAGGGUAGCUAUGCUCGCCCGCGGAGGGCCCGCGGCCACAAAUCGCCGCCGGGAAGGUGUGGUUUCUGGUUUCGAGUCCGCCGCCCCCUUCAGAAGUAGCGCCAGAGGGGCGAGGGCGUCGUCUACGGUUCCAGCCAGGCACUUACUUUCCUAGUUCGGGACCCGGCUUGGUCUGACCGUCUUUACCCUGCUGGAUGAUGAGGAAACUGAGGCACAGCGAGUUUAAAUACCUUUCUCAAAGUGAUGGGGCUUUGGUCUGAAGUCUUGCUGUAAAGGCCAUGUUCUUAACCAGUAGGCAUUGUCUGUGACAACUCUCCAUGUAUUCCAACAGGAUGGGGAUUUGGAUCAGAACAGACACUGUCAUUAGAUUUAGGGUCACCCUAACACAGAUGACCUCAUCUCCAGAUCCUCAACUAUAUCUGAAAAGACUCUUUCCCAGGAGAUGACCAAGGCCCCAUAUGGACGGGGGCAAACAGCAGCCAUGUGAAUGGGGUUCUGGGGAGAAUGAGGACCCUGGAAGCACCAGGAAAGGAUCCAGGCCUGGCUUCAUCAGGAGCAGGAGGCCCUGAGAAUCAACAUGUGCUGCCCUGAAGACUAACCAGGAGGAUUUGGGAGGGGCCGCUAGAAGGAAGGAGAUGACCAGCCUCCCAGGAUCCUUGGUGCCGGAGUCCAUCUUGGCUGAGAGAGCUAAACCCCCAACAAAUGGAAAACUGGAGAGGAGGACCACCAGCACCAGUCCUGGGGCUGCCGAACACCAACUUUGAAGAAGAAUGCAAGCUUGCAUCUACCCUGAUCCUUACCUGUGGCCCUAUUUUCUACUGCCACACUGUGUAAAAUCCCUUCCUGAUCUCUCCCAAGGUGGGGCACAGUCUUUAGGGCAUUAGCCUGCUGUGGCCUCCUUUGCUUGGCAAAGCAAUAAAGCUAUUUUUUUUCUCUUUCAC
Molecule: long non-coding RNA, 1138 nt
Filed under: Sus scrofa (pig)
Lineage: Eukaryota; Metazoa; Chordata; Mammalia; Artiodactyla; Suidae
Description: lncRNA (ENSSSCG00000044567.2)
Source: RNAcentral